RNAcentral lists this ribosomal RNA (258 nucleotides) under uncultured soil bacterium. RNAcentral's name for it is "partial 16S ribosomal RNA". It matches the Rfam family "Bacterial small subunit ribosomal RNA", at positions 26 to 311 of the family's 1533-position model. The record is from RNAcentral.
AGAACGAACGCUGGCGGCAUGCCUAAUACAUGCAAGUCGAACGAACUCUUCGGAGUUAGUGGCGCACGGGUGCGUAACGCGUGGGAAUCUGCCCCUUGGUUCGGAAUAACAGUUGGAAACGACUGCUAAUACCGGAUGAUGACGAAAGUCCAAAGAUUUAUCGCCAAGGGAUGAGCCCGCGUAGGAUUAGCUAGUUGGUGAGGUAAAGGCUCACCAAGGCAACGAUCCUUAGCUGGUCUGGAGAGAUGAUCACGCCAC